Cyanistes caeruleus (blue tit) is the source of this 1727-nucleotide RNA transcript. RefSeq lists it as uncharacterized. The record is from RefSeq and is a predicted model, not a curated record. NCBI's taxonomy places the organism in Eukaryota, Metazoa, Chordata, Aves, Passeriformes, Paridae.
AUAUACCCCUGGAUCCUCCAUUACUCUCUGGCUUUGUUCCUGGAGCCCUUCAGUGUGUGUGGCUGCUAUAAACCGCACUGGAGCUCCAUACAGAGACCCUUCCUGGCUCUCUGUCAUCGCUGGGCUCUGUGUGGGUGUGAUUGGGUGUGAUUGGGUGUGAUUGGGUGUGAUUGGGUGUGAUUGGGUGUGAUUGAUUGAUGAUGGCCUGCCCAGACACUUUCCUCUCUGGAGGCUCUUUUGGGAAGGUAUCAUCACCUGACCACCUCCACUGGACACCACCUGGGAGUGUCCCCAGCUGGGUGGACUCUUCAAGCAGUAGCCACGUGGUGGGAGAGCAAAACUGGCAGCAGGGCCUGGGCGUGUGUGGGACAGAAGGACAGGGAACGCUGUGUGCUGCCGCAAGCUGGGCACGAGUCUUGCCUUAAGUCUUCACAAGGGGAAGGUUCAUAAUGGUGGCAAGGCAGAAGACAGGGGCAUGAAACUACAGCAACUUCAUUUUGAUAGUAUGCAGAACAGAAUCCAUUAACUGAGUCUCAGGAGUCAGGCUCAAGGACCUCUUGAUUAAGAAUUAAAUUACAGCCUUGCUUAGUGGGAGCUAUGUGAAAAAUAUCCUGCAAAUCCUUCUUCUGGAACAUGAAACACCCCUCUGAGUUUCUUCUGGUGGUUCUAUGGCAUUUCCACUCUUACUGUUCAAUCCAAAAUAUUCGUGGUGGAUGUAUCUGGCACAUUUGAGCUGUGCAGUGAACACAGCUAGAAGCCUGUUGUUAUUUUCAGGCUUGUUUUUGCUGACUUGCUGCCGUUGGUACGGGCACGAUGUGUUCUGUGACCCUGUGAGCUCUGACCUGUCACAGAUGUUAAGGAACUGCUUACAAAAACAGAGCUCAGAUUCUCACUCUGAUUCACUGUCUGGAUGUGUCAACAGAAUGAAAAAAAAUUUUGGAGAACUCAAAUCUGCUCCAAAUUGAGAAGAAAAUGUUCUCUUCACAUUGAAGGUCCUUCCUAAAUGAGGAUUAAGUGUCCCUUGGGACAAGUGCUGCAGGACCCAGGAGGUACAGCAUGUCCCAAAGAAGGUCUUCAGACAGGCACUACAAUUCCAGUGUGUAAUGUUUUCCAAAGGACUGACUCAGGAGAGGAGGGACUAAGGAUUUCCCUCUAUUUAUUUGUAAGUCCCUGACACGAAUGGUUCUUUGAAGUGUUUUUAGGAUGCUGUAGGGCAGCUCUAUCUCUCACUUAAAAAUAUAUUUUGAAUCACAAGAAACUUUAGAUGUGUGUGUUCAUAACAGAACAUAUGAACUACCACUGCUAACACAAAGUCAGCUUUGUCAAGCUACACCAGGGUUGCCAUUUCCCUUCAGUCCUGUGGUUGGGGACCUUUUAGAUUAAAUUCAUUAGUUCAUGGUAGUUUUGAGAUGUAACAUAAGCCUCCAAAGGCAUCUUAAGCUUCUCUUUUUUAUUAAAAUUAAAUCUUCCCUUGGCAUUUCUCUAGGCACUUCUCCACUCACAAAUAAAAGGGACACUGCUGAAGGAUAUUCUGCUGCACACUUAAAUGCCAGCAAUCCAAUUAAAGAAAUGUUUAACCUUUUGUAAAUAAAGCUAUGUCUUGUGCUGGCUUUUGGCUAAAGGAAAAAAAAAAAUAACUAAUUUAUUAUUAAGCUUCUUACUCAAGACUGAUGUAUGUAUUCAUGAUAUAGUUUAUAGCAUUAUAAGGCCAGAAUAUAUUAAAAUUA